GCAAAUAGCACCUUUCCUGAGCCAGUUUCCAUCCCCCAGCUUUGAUGGUGCUCCCAGAAAAUUCCUUCCCACCACCAUUCGUCAGUUUUUUUAAUUAUGGCUGUGUCUUUGCCCUUCUCUUUGCAACGAGCCUGAGGCAGCCAGUUGAUGAUACCCCUGUGGUCUUCUUGACUUGCCACCUUCAACAAUUCUGCUAGCUCUGUUUUUUUUUUUUAAUAUAUAUAACAGAUUGCAUAAUAGAAAGCCCACCCCCUCCUUCAGGACAGCCGUAGCUCUGUAGCCUGAAGCAAGCAGCAGAGGACACGCCACCAGACUUGAGAAAAUUGCCUCCGCUUUAUCGCUUCUAGGAGGAGUAGGAGGAAGAGUCCUCCCACUGUUGUUAUGGUGGAGAAAGCCACUUCCCUGUGUACAGCUGAGCAGGGAAGCAAACACAUUUCAUGAACGGAGGAGAAGAAGGAAAAGGGGCAUUGGCAUCUACUCUAAGUAAAUAUGCCCUAGCUGGGAAGGUAAGGCCACGUGACGGACGCCAGCGCUGAAGGAGGAGCACAGCUUGCUGCUUCAUGUAUAAAAGCGACGCCUGCACAUGAAGCUCCAAAACCGCUUGGCUAGUGUGAACCAAGAAUUGAAUGCAGCAUAAGCGGCCACUGCCACCAUGAAGUUGACAGUUGUCUUUCUGCUGGUUGUCCUUGCGUCCUACAGCUACUCUCCAUCUGCUGCUUGUGACAGUCUGCAAGUCUUUGCGGACAAAGCUCUCUAUUCCACUCAAGACGAUUACAUGAAUUACAUUUCCAACUACCUGCUUGUUACCCCUCCAGUAAAAUUAGCUGCCCUUCAACUCAAGUCAUGCGCAGAAGGUCUCUCAGCAGACAUGAAGCAGGCAAAAGAAGCCGUGCUGGCAAAUCUAAUAGGAUACUGUGGUAGUCUAAUAUAGUUCCAGGACCUUUCUCUGUGAUGACUCCAGAUGCUGACUGAUCCUGAAUGAUCCAUUUUCACUUCCUUCUCCUUUUUUCGGCCAAGAACUUUCACCCUCUUCCUGAAUAGACAACUGUGUUAUCUAGAAUCUGCAACCCUGUUUUCAA
RNAcentral lists this long non-coding RNA (1079 nucleotides) under Apteryx rowi (Okarito brown kiwi). RNAcentral describes it as "lncRNA (ENSARWG00000013160.1)". Lineage: Eukaryota; Metazoa; Chordata; Aves; Apterygiformes; Apterygidae. The record is from RNAcentral.